This 497-nucleotide ribosomal RNA is filed under the name uncultured bacterium. RNAcentral describes it as "partial 16S ribosomal RNA". It matches the Rfam family "Bacterial small subunit ribosomal RNA", at positions 28 to 507 of the family's 1533-position model. The record is from RNAcentral.
GAUGAACGCUGGCGGCGUGCCUAAUACAUGCAAGUCGAGCGAACAGACGAGGAGCUUGCUCCUCUGACGUUAGCGGCGGACGGGUGAGUAACACGUGGAUAACCUACCUAUAAGACUGGGAUAACUUCGGGAAACCGGAGCUAAUACCGGAUAAUAUAUUGAACCGCAUUGUUCAAUAGUGAAAGACGGUUUUGCUGUCACUUAUAGAUGGAUCCGCGCCGCAUUAGCUAGUUGGUAAGGUAACGGCUUACCAAGGCAACGAUGCGUAGCCGACCUGAUAGGGUGAUCGGCGACACUGGAACUGAGACACGGUCCAGACUACUAAGGGAGGCAGCAGUAGGGAAUCUGCCGCAAUGGGCGAAAGCCUGACGGAGCAACGCCGCGUGAGUGAUGAAGGUCUUCGGAUCGUAAAACUCUGUUAUUAGGGAAGAACAAAUGUGUAAGUAACUAUGCACGUCUUGACGGUACCUAAUCAGAAAGCCACGGCUAACUACGUG